AACGAACGCUGGCGGCAUGCCUAACACAUGCAAGUCGAACGAGACCUCCGUGUCUAGUGGCGCACGGGUGCGUAACGCGUGGGAACCUGCCCUUAGGUUCGGAAUAACUCCCCGAAAGGGGUGCUAAGACCGGAGAAUGUCUUCGGACCAAAGAUCUGUCGCCUUUGGAUGGGCCCUCGUUGGAUUAGCUGGUUGGUAGGGUAAUAGCAGAGCAAGGAGACGAUGCAUAGCUGGUCGGAGAGGAUGAUACGCCACGCUGGAGAUGCGACACGGCCCAGAAUGGUAGGGAGGGGAGCAGUGGAUAGCAUUGGAGGCGGGGCGCAAGUGUGAUACAGCAGUGCCGGGGAAGAGAUGAAGGCCUUAGGGUUGCACAGCCGUUUUAGCCGAGGUGAUAAUGACAGUACCGGGAGAAGAAGCUCCGGCUAACUACGUG
Molecule: ribosomal RNA, 433 nt
Filed under: uncultured bacterium
Lineage: Bacteria
Description: partial 16S ribosomal RNA
Rfam family: Bacterial small subunit ribosomal RNA
Source: RNAcentral